UUUGUUUUAGUCGUGAAGAAAUAGUUAUUGGAAAAAUGAAAUGUUUACUAGAAAGGUUAAGAGGCUAAAAGAAAAUGAUAAUGGAAAAAUGAAAUGUUUGCUGGAGGAGCAAUUGAGUAAGAGGUUAGCAUUAAAAACUUUUUUUUAUUGACGAAUUUAA
Onthophagus taurus is the source of this 160-nucleotide non-coding RNA. The record is from RefSeq and is a predicted model, not a curated record. NCBI's taxonomy places the organism in Eukaryota, Metazoa, Arthropoda, Insecta, Coleoptera, Scarabaeidae.